RNAcentral lists this non-coding RNA (790 nucleotides) under Poecilobothrus nobilitatus. The record is from RNAcentral. Lineage: Eukaryota; Metazoa; Arthropoda; Insecta; Diptera; Dolichopodidae.
AAAAAGUUUUAUUUUGGCUUAUUAAUUUAUUAUAAGUUUGUUUUAUAUGUAAAUUUUUGUGUGAAUUUAUUUUAUUCUAAAAGAAUAUUAUAUUAUUUUUAUUCGCAGUAAAUAAUAUUAAUUAUUAGGUAAUUCUAGAAUUAUUAAUACUAUUAAGUAUUGGCUAAACUUGUGCCAGCAGCUGCGGUUAUACAAAAAAUACAAGUAAAUUAUAUUGGAUUGAGUUAAAUAAAAAUUUAUUUAAUAAAUAGUAAUUUUUUAGGUGAAAUUUUAAUUUAUUUGAAUUAAUAUAAAAAUAAAUAUUGAAGCUUAAAAAUUUUUGCAUUAAACUAGGAUUAGAUACCCUAUUAUAAAAAUUGUAUAAUUAAAAAAUCAGAGUAGUAUUAGUUAAGGUCUUGAAACUUAAAAAAUUUGGCGGUAUUUUAGUCUAUUUAGAGGAACCUGUAGUAUAAUCGAUAAUCCACGAUGGACCUCACUUAAUUUUGUUUUUCAGUUUGUAUACCGCUGUUAUUUGAAAAUUUUAUAAGAAAAAUAAUUUUCAUAAUUUUAUAUAAAAAAGUAAAUCAGGUCAAGGUGCAGCUUAUAAUUAAGAAUUUAUGGGUUACAAUAAAAUUAUUUAAAUGGAUUUAAAUAUGAAAUUAUUUUUUGAAAGUGGAUUUAAUAGUAAAUUUUUAAAGAUAAAAAAAUUGAUUUUAGCUCUAAAAUAUGUACACAUCGCCCGUCGCUCUUGUUAAUAAUAUAAGAUAAGUCGUAACAUAGUAGAUGUACUGGAAAGUGUAUCUAGAAUGAC